Molecule: long non-coding RNA, 469 nt
Filed under: Castor canadensis (American beaver)
Lineage: Eukaryota; Metazoa; Chordata; Mammalia; Rodentia; Castoridae
Description: lncRNA (ENSCCNG00000026912.1)
Source: RNAcentral
CUCGCGCACACGCGCUCCGCUCCGCUCCCCGCUCCCCUUCGCCUCUCCGGCUCCCUGCGUCCCUCCCUCUUCCCUCUCAGUUUGUUACCGACCCAGCAGCCCGGUCCCCUCCGCGCAGCGCCGCGGGCACUCCACCCCCCGCACGCCAGAUGGGGUCCCGGAUCGGAGCCCGCACGCCUGGCCGAAGGGUCUGGAUUUAGAGCCACCUGAUCUAAGGGCUCAGCAUCCAAGGCAAGAAGCUGCUGUAGCUGGAACCCCUGAGCUGAUGAGUCUUAUUAUAGACUGGCUGGCUGAAGACAGAGCGUCAAGUUUCACCUCCAAGGCAACAGUGGGGGUGGAAGCAGGGGGCCUCCUGGUGGCUCACGCAGGACCAGUCAGGGGACUCUGUGAAGGGCCUGGCCUCUGGCUCCCAGGUGCCAUGGAUUGACAGGCAGUGCACACCAAGGGGCUUCUCUGUCCCCAGAGCUGC